UACGUAGGGGGCAAGCGUUGUCCGGAUUUAUUGGGCGUAAAGCGCGUGUAGGCGGCCAGGCAGGUCCGUUGUGAAAACUGGAGGCUCAACUUCCAGACGUCGAUGGAAACCGCCCGGCUAGAGUCCGGAAGAGGAGAGUGGAAUUCCUGGUGUAGCGGUGAAAUGCGCAGAUAUCAGGAAGAACACCAAUGGCGAAGGCAGCUCUCUGGGACGGUACUGACGCUGAGACGCGAAAGCGUGGGGAGCGAACAGG
Molecule: ribosomal RNA, 253 nt
Filed under: uncultured bacterium
Lineage: Bacteria
Description: partial 16S ribosomal RNA
Rfam family: Bacterial small subunit ribosomal RNA
Source: RNAcentral